AUUGAACGCUGGCGGCAUGCCUUACACAUGCAAGUCGAACGGCAGCACGGGUGCUUGCACCUGGUGGCGAGUGGCGAACGGGUGAGUAAUACAUCGGAACAUGUCCUUUAGUGGGGGAUAGCCCGGCGAAAGCCGGAUUAAUACCGCAUACGAUCUACGGAUGAAAGCGGGGGACCUUCGGGCCUCGCGCUAUAGGGUUGGCCGAUAGCUGAUUAGCUAGUUGGUGGGGUAAAGGCCUACCAAGGCGACGAUCAGUAGCUGGUCUGAGAGGACGACCAGCCACACUGGGACUGAGACACGGCCCAGACUCCUACGGGAGGCAGCAGUGGGGAAUUUUGGACAAUGGGCGAAAGCCUGAUCCAGCAAUGCCGCGUGUGUGAAGAAGGCCUUCGGGUUGUAAAGCACUUUUGUCCGGAAAGAAAUCCUUGGCUCUAAUACAGUCGGGGGAUGACGGUACCGGAAGAAUAAGCACCGGCUAACUACGUG
This 486-nucleotide ribosomal RNA is filed under the name uncultured bacterium. Its description in RNAcentral is "partial 16S ribosomal RNA". It matches the Rfam family "Bacterial small subunit ribosomal RNA", at positions 30 to 507 of the family's 1533-position model. The record is from RNAcentral.